GUGUUCCACCCCAACGACUAGAAUGGAACCGUAUAAGAUUUUUAUAGUCUUCUUGCUUAUUGCGACCAGCUGCCAUAUCAACGACGCCCAAUGUUCGUUUGGAUGGGGAGGAGUGUUUCACUGCAAGCGGGAGAGUGAUGCCAAAAAAAUAUCUGAUAACAGAAGUUUCAAAACACGUGGUGAAUCAGACAAGGGUCAAACUGCAAGGAAGUCGAUCGGAAACAAGAUUUUUCUCAAGAGAACGCGGGGAAAAAAUGGAUACAAGGAAGAUUUUAAACACUUGUUCGCUUAGUUCUUAAUAAGUGUCAUAACUUGGACGUCGUAAGAUACGUUGAUGCGGCUGAUGAAAAAUCGAAACCAGGAUACCAACGCGACAAUCAUCUUCAAAUUCAUGAAAGCACCGUAAAUUAAAUGUGUUUUGCUUUGUUGACACAACUUAACUCGUGAACUUCUUAAACUCAGGUAUUAAAUGGCUCUCAUGCAAUGACAAAUAGAAAUAAGGGAAAGGAAUUAUUUUGACAGUAUUAAAGGGCCUGUAAUAUAACUAAGGGUUGAAAUGAAUAAACUAGACAAAAGUUUGUCGUCA
Long non-coding RNA from Pocillopora damicornis (cauliflower coral), 586 nucleotides. The record is from RefSeq and is a predicted model, not a curated record. Lineage: Eukaryota; Metazoa; Cnidaria; Anthozoa; Scleractinia; Pocilloporidae.